Molecule: long non-coding RNA, 251 nt
Organism: Myotis lucifugus (little brown bat)
Lineage: Eukaryota; Metazoa; Chordata; Mammalia; Chiroptera; Vespertilionidae
Exons: 3
Source: RefSeq, a predicted model, not a curated record
GAGGGUGCCUGUACCUGCUGAACUUCAGAAAACGCUCGAGUCUUGUCCGAGCAGGACACAUCUGUGGCCAUCAAAGAGCAACCAGAUUUUAAAGAUGAAGUAUCUUCCCCAAUUCCCUUCCAUCUUGGCCAUCUUUUGCUUCUGCCUGCUACAGCAUCCCUCCUCAGGAUAUAUUCAACCUUCAGAUGAUUCUCCAGAUGGCUUGGAUAUUGUGCAGCUGGAGCGGCUGGCAUAUUGGGCAACUCUUUCUA